Molecule: transfer RNA, 65 nt
Filed under: Dipodomys ordii (Ord's kangaroo rat)
Lineage: Eukaryota; Metazoa; Chordata; Mammalia; Rodentia; Heteromyidae
Rfam family: tRNA
About the family: Transfer RNA (tRNA) molecules are approximately 80 nucleotides in length.
Source: Rfam by way of RNAcentral
GGUGACUCAGUGUUAAGAGUGCUUGCUUUGCAUGCCUGAGGCCUUGGGUUUGAUUCCCAGCACCA